Molecule: ribosomal RNA, 255 nt
Filed under: Weissella cibaria
Lineage: Bacteria; Bacillati; Bacillota; Bacilli; Lactobacillales; Lactobacillaceae
Description: partial 23S ribosomal RNA
Rfam family: Bacterial large subunit ribosomal RNA
Source: RNAcentral
CUCAUUAGCAACAGGAAUAGAAAGAAAAAUCGAUACCGUCAGUAGCGGCGAGCGAAAUCGGUAGAGCCCAAACCAAAGUGCUUGCACUUUGGGGUUGUAGGACUGACAUUGUGGAGUUACAAAGUUAGCAUUUAGCAGAAUCAGCUGGGAAGCUGAGCGAGACAGGGUGAUAGCCCCGUAUGCGAAAAAUGUUGACCUCCCGUCAGGAUCCUGAGUACGGCCGGACACGUGAAAUCCGGUCGGAAUCCGCGAGGA